RNAcentral lists this long non-coding RNA (917 nucleotides) under Struthio camelus australis. RNAcentral describes it as "lncRNA (ENSSCUG00000006443.1)". Lineage: Eukaryota; Metazoa; Chordata; Aves; Struthioniformes; Struthionidae. The record is from RNAcentral.
CUGCGGACAGGUGGUUUCUGCAGCGCCUUUUGUCCAGCUGGCCGGGUUAGCCGGCAGGCUGCUCGGGACAGAGUCUGCCACUGAUCACACAGCGAAGCUGCCGCCUCAGUUACGGCCGUGCAGCAGUGAGCAGUCUCUUUUGAUGUACAUUCUGAAGAGCUUACACAACAGGACAGGGAUUUUUAGCACACUUCAGUUCUUUCCUGAAACAGCAGUGCUAAUGAGACUUGUCUUCCCAUGGAUUAUGUCUCAUGUUUCAUUGCAGAGCUCACCUGAACCCUUUUCCAUAGACAAGAUGCAACAAUUCCAAGCGAAGUCUGUCCUGAACUCCUCCGUGGCUGAGAGCUGGCAGGGGAUGCGCCAUACAGAAGGCUCUCUGAGGUACAGCUUUUCCAAAGUACAUUUAAAAACCAAAACUUUUAACUUGCUGCUGUUGCAUGUGAUGUGUGACUCGGGUUGGGGGAGCAGAAUCAGUUGUGUAGGUUAGGUUUUGGAAAGGAGCAUAUAUUUUCUUCCUGUUGACCUUUUACAUAGUAAUAUAUAAUAUUCAGCAUGAGUGAGAAGUAAGCAAUAGGUAGCACUUAUCUAGGGCUUUUUAGGGUUGCAUUUGAUCAAUAUGGUAUGGAGUAGGAAUAUAGAGGUCUUCCUUGCGAUUCUCUAUCCAGAGAAACAAGGCACCAGGGCCUUAUUAUUACAAGGCACAGAACUGGCAGCUUUCCUGUAAAAGGCCUGCCUGACAGCAUUCCCAUUUUGAUUUUGUCUGUACAAACCACCCAAAGGAAAUGGCAGGACCCCAGCACAGUGGACAUUAACAGACUUUUGCUUUAGCUCUGUGAUAUUGGACACCUAUUCUGUGAUAAGGUGAAAGACUUGUUCUAAUGUAAAAAUAAAACCUAAUAGUAACCUGGAUCUUUUCA